AAUGAACGCUGGCGGCGUGCUUAACACAUGCAAGUCGAACGAGAAAGCCUCUUCGGAGGCGAGUAGAGUGGCGAACGGGUGAGUAACACGUAAGAAUCUGUCCUUUAGUGAAGAAUACCCUCGAGAAAUCGAGGCUAAUGCUGCAUACCUCCCUUCGGGGAGAAAGGUGGCCUCUCGCUACCGCUAGAGGAGGAGCUUGCGGACUAUUAGCUAGUUGGUGAGGUAAUGGCCCACCAAGGCUAUGAUGGUUAGCCGGCCUGAGAGGGUGAUCGGCCACAUUGGAACUGAGACACGGUCCAGACUCCUACGGGAGGCUG
RNAcentral lists this ribosomal RNA (317 nucleotides) under uncultured bacterium. RNAcentral describes it as "bacterial SSU rRNA". It matches the Rfam family "Bacterial small subunit ribosomal RNA", at positions 29 to 351 of the family's 1533-position model. The record is from RNAcentral.